GAUAAUAAAAUUCUGUGUAACUAAAAAAAAAAAAGGUUAUAAAGAUAUUCUAGGAGAGAAGGGAAAGGAUGCUUUAUGGUUAUCAGAUGGAUACUAACCACAGAAACACAGAGGAGAAUCAUUAGAAGCAGAAAUAGGAAACAACAGAAUGCAGACAGCGUUGCCUGUUCUGACUCUUCUCUCAAUAGCUUCAUAACUUGGGUGGUGUGGAGCUCUUAGGAGAAAUCAGAGCUGAUGAAACUAUCAUAGGAAGUUCCACACAAACAUGCAGAAGAACCUUUUCAUGGAGGAUUUACAGAGAAAUCAUAUAAUCUCUCAGCAUUUCAGUGGUGGAUUGCCGUGACCAGGCUUCUUCACAACCUGUCUGAAGAUGGGCUUUCAGUUCUUUAAUCACAUUUCUAGCUCUUUCCAUACUGGUGAGCUCUCCAGGAUGAAUUUCCCUUCCUGGAGUUUGACCCUGAUGGAAAUAUUGCUGUAUCCUCAGAUUCCUCUUUUUUUUUUUUUUUGGUCUUUUUAUAGCUAUAAUAUACCAGCACCUCACAGUAACCAUAGUCUUACCUAGUGUAUCCAGGUCAAACUUUUUCUCUCUUAUUUCUAAUAGGAGUGCUCCCAGCUUUUAACAAAAACUUCUUCUGUAAUAGAAUAUCUUUAUAGACAUGACCUUUCUUGUUUAUUAUUACAUUCCCUUUAAUACACAAGUCUUCAAAGUUACACAAUCCCUGCAGUAUGGCACUGCACUCUGAAUCUCUUCUGCAAAAGAUGUGUCAGCAAAUUUUAGCAGUGUCCUUGUUUUUCUCUGUGCCUUGCUCAUGAAUGAGAUUCCCUCCAGCCCAGCAGUUCAUCUUUCAUCAAAAACUGCAUCACCUCUCCUUUAGCUGGCUAGUUAGCUAUGCAGUAUAGAAUUCUGAUAUUAAUGUCCAUCUUUGCAUCUUUAAUAAAUACU
Molecule: long non-coding RNA, 943 nt
Organism: Numida meleagris (helmeted guineafowl)
Lineage: Eukaryota; Metazoa; Chordata; Aves; Galliformes; Numididae
Exons: 4
Source: RefSeq, a predicted model, not a curated record